RNAcentral lists this ribosomal RNA (544 nucleotides) under uncultured bacterium. RNAcentral describes it as "bacterial SSU rRNA". It matches the Rfam family "Bacterial small subunit ribosomal RNA", at positions 153 to 692 of the family's 1533-position model. The record is from RNAcentral.
GAAACUCGAGCUAAUACCGCAUACGCCCUUCGGGGGAAAGCGGGGGAUCUUCGGACCUCGCGCUAUUGGAUGAGCCUGCGUCGGAUUAGCUUGUUGGUGAGGUAAAAGCUCACCAAGGCGACGAUCCGUAGCUGGUCUGAGAGGAUGAUCAGCCACACUGGGACUGAGACACGGCCCAGACUCCUACGGGAGGCAGCAGUGGGGAAUAUUGCGCAAUGGGGGAAACCCUGACGCAGCCAUGCCGCGUGUGUGAAGAAGGCCUUAGGGUUGUAAAGCACUUUCAAUUGGGAAGAAAAGCUUGUCGUUAAUAGCGGCAAGCCCUGACAUUACCUUUAGAAGAAGCACCGGCUAACUCCGUGCCAGCAGCCGCGGUAAUACGGAGGGUGCGAGCGUUAAUCGGAAUUACUGGGCGUAAAGCGCGCGUAGGUGGUUUGUUAAGUCAGCUGUGAAAGCCCUGGGCUCAACCUGGGAAUUGCAGUUGAUACUGGCCGACUAGAGUACGAGAGAGGGAGGUAGAAUUCCAUGUGUAGCGGUGAAAUGCGUA